GGUUUUCAGCGCCAUAAGCUCCAGAGAGUCUUUUACAGGUGAUGAUUCAUGCCACAACAACGAACCUGAUCAUCAGCCUGAGCGACUCACCUGCACAAAAUGAUGAGAACAAGAUAAACGCAGCCCGAGGUUCCUCUAAAUGAAAGGUGUGCUGAGACAACAGAGACGCUGGAUCCUCAGAAGAAAUCACGGUGCGUGAAAAUCAUCUUUCACUACCGCGUACCCGAAGACUUCAAUAACUGAGACGCAGUUUUGCGCAUAACUCGACUGAAUAGAUAUCCUAGUCUGUGAGAAAACGUAACAUUAUCCUUUGCCCAACAUCACCUGGAGGAGGUUCUGAAUAUGCCACGCAAAAUUUGAACUUACGUGAAAGACUUUAUAGAGUCGUCGCAGUUUACAAGAGUACCUGAGAUUCCACCUCCGAAACUACCAUGAGCGCACCUGUCCUGUCUUCUGAUUGGUCGGAAGACCUAGGGGUAGGUCACGUGAGGAGAAUUCAGGAUUUACACAAGCUCCAGUCUGGAUCCAGAACACCUGAGAAGAGAUGAUGCCAACCCCUCAGAGGACCUCAGAUGAUGCUAACCCAGAGACAACAUACAGAACUACCACAUUUUGCUAUAAGUUUGAUUGGAUAAUUGCUGUUAAUAGUGUUAAUCCUCUGUUUGUUUACGUCUUUUAUUGAUUUUUCCAAACAUUUCUGCUGUAUGCACAUAAACUGACGGUCACCACUGAUACUACUAAAUAUUGUAGAAACUUAAUUUUCUGUAAAGUUGCUUUGCAUUGAUUUGUAUUGUAAAAAGCGCUAUACAGAUAAACUUGAAUUGAAUUGAAUUGGUGGAGUACAUGCAGCCUGAGUGCUGAUGUUAUUAAAGUACAUUCUGAAAUGAAAAAUUAUCACUUAAACUUAGCAUUUGGCUCAAAAUUUAAAUGCUGAUCAUAUCACUUGUAAUGGAAAAAACACAAAACACAGCUGCUAUUGUUCAAAUGAAUAACAGUUGAGUUGAUGAGGCAAAAGCAUCAUCGGCAGCUGUUUAUUAACAUUUUUUAUUCUUACAGAACCUCAAAGAUGAUUAUAAUGUUGCUUUGUCAAAGUGCAGCCAAUCUAAAUGUGUACAAUACUACAAAACAACCACAUUUACUUUUGCACAGGCCAAAGAAACAACAACAUCUUGAAGCUUGUGCUCUUUUUGAUUUUUAUCAGCAUUAUUUAAAACCUCAGAUUUAUUAUAGUUAGUCUUGCGUGCGUAUGUGUGUUAUCUAGAAAGAGUAAAGAGAUGAAAGAAAUAAUUUGGUACAGCGCAAUGAUGUGGAACAUCAAACUCACAAGAGUUGCCUACAUUCCUCUCUCUCUCGCACAC
This is a long non-coding RNA of Cyprinus carpio carpio, 1358 nucleotides long. Lineage: Eukaryota; Metazoa; Chordata; Actinopteri; Cypriniformes; Cyprinidae. The record is from Ensembl.